Molecule: ribosomal RNA, 829 nt
Filed under: uncultured beta proteobacterium
Lineage: Bacteria; Pseudomonadati; Pseudomonadota; Betaproteobacteria
Description: bacterial SSU rRNA
Rfam family: Bacterial small subunit ribosomal RNA
Source: RNAcentral
GGGGCAACCUGGCGGCGAGCGGCGAACGGGUGAGUAAUGCAUCGGAACAUGUCCAUUCGUGGGGGAUAGCCCGGCGAAAGCCGGAUUAAUACCGCAUACGCCCUGAGGGGGAAAGUGGGGGACCGCAAGGCCUCACGCGAAUGGGUUGGCCGAUGUCCGAUUAGCUAGUUGGUGGGGUAAAGGCUUACCAAGGCGAUGAUCGGUAGCUGGUCUGAGAGGAUGAUCAGCCACACUGGGACUGAGACACGGCCCAGACUCCUACGGGAGGCAGCAGUGGGGAAUUUUGGACAAUGGGGGCAACCCUGAUCCAGCCAUUCCGCGUGAGUGAAGAAGGCCUUCGGGUUGUAAAGCUCUUUUGUCCGGAACGAAACGGUUAGCGUGAAUAUCGCUGACUACUGACGGUACCGGAAGAAUAAGCACCGGCUAACUACGUGCCAGCAGCCGCGGUAAUACGUAGGGUGCGAGCGUUAAUCGGAAUUACUGGGCGUAAAGCGUGCGCAGGCGGUUUUGUAAGCCAGAUGUGAAAUCCCCGGGCUUAACCUGGGAAUGGCAUUUGGGACUGCAAGGCUCGAGUGCGGCAGAGGAGACUGGAAUUCCUGGUGUAGCAGUGAAAUGCGUAGAUAUCAGGAGGAAUACCGAUGGCGAAGGCAGGUCUCUGGGCUGACACUGACGCUCAUGCACGAAAGCGUGGGGAGCAAACAGGAUUAGAUACCCUGGUAGUCCACGCCCUAAACGAUGUCGACUGGUUGUUGGGGGUUUGACACUCUCAGUAACGAAGCUAACGCGUGAAGUCGACCGCCUGGGGAGUACGGCCGCAAGGUUAAAACUC